UACGUAGGGCGCAAGCGUUGUCCGGAAUUACUGGGCGUAAAGAGCUCGUAGGCGGCUUGUCACGUCGGAUGUGAAAGCCCGAGGCUUAACCUCGGGUCUGCAUUCGAUACGGGCUAGCUAGAGUGUGGUAGGGGAGAUCGGAAUUCCUGGUGUAGCGGUGAAAUGCGCAGAUAUCAGGAGGAACACCGGUGGCGAAGGCGGCUCUCUGGUACGUGACUGACGCUGAGACGCGAAAGCGUGGGGAGCAAACAGG
Molecule: ribosomal RNA, 253 nt
Filed under: uncultured bacterium
Lineage: Bacteria
Description: partial 16S ribosomal RNA
Rfam family: Bacterial small subunit ribosomal RNA
Source: RNAcentral